UGGCUGCGCCCAUGUUAGCUUUUGGAGGGAAAGAUUGUUUGUAACUUGAAUGUGAGCUUUAACCAUGAAGCUGCCAGAAUCACAGUAAAGAGAUUUGAGACAAUGAGAUGCAGCGUGCUGCACACAGACAGUGCAGAUGGAAUCCAGGCUUGGAACACUGGGACAGUCUCAGGAGGCAUUUGGAAGAUGCUGGAGAUGGAGAUCCCAAUGUGGGAAUUCCACAAAUAUUAGACGAAAUGGAGCUGCACUGCCGUGGCCUCCUGAAUGGCAUUUUGUUGCUUAAAUCUUUUUUUUAAUAAUGUUUUUUGUUAAAAAAAUAAAUUAAAUAUACAAACCCUGUUAAAAAUAAAUAAAUUGUUUAACCCCAAAA
Pseudophryne corroboree (corroboree frog) is the source of this 370-nucleotide long non-coding RNA. RefSeq lists it as uncharacterized. The record is from RefSeq and is a predicted model, not a curated record. NCBI's taxonomy places the organism in Eukaryota, Metazoa, Chordata, Amphibia, Anura, Myobatrachidae. The transcript has 2 exons.